UGCCUUGGACUUACUGAUUCUUUAGGAGCUGUACAUGAAGCUGUUCCGCAUUUAAGCACUCAGAGGCAUUUGUCUCCUUAAACAAGGCAUUAUAAUCAUUCCUUUUGUAGCCUACUAAAAUAAGAUUCCAGAAAAACUCCUCUCCAAAUAAGGAUAAACAACACGGUGGCUCGAUCACAGCAUUCUGCCAGAACAAUCACACUUAUAAUCUUAGCACUGACAGUAUAUUUAGCAAUCACAGUUACAAUUACUUUGGUCUCAUUUCACAAUAUCCUCAGGAUGAUGAUUCUGACAAUGUUACAGAGAAAUCAGGAACAGUUCCCAGAGACACAGCCACAAACCGGCAGUGCAGACCAAGGAACAAGAAAAGCAAGCAGAAGCCUUUUUAUAGGAAGAACAUCCUUGAACAGAACCUACAGUUUGAACACACUUAUCUGGGAGUGCUUUUUCCUGAGAUGUGACUGAAAGAACACUAGGAAGGAGCUGGAAGGCUUUCUGCAGGACUUCUUGCUAGGACACACCGCUCUGGUACAGAAGUUAGAGCCUGUCUGCACACAAUUAACAGUUAAUGUGACUUUGUACUCAUCUUGGCAACAGUGCCUGUACUUCAGGAAGAAAAAAGCAAGAAAAGCAGCACGCUGCGCUUCUAUACCUGGUGGGAACAUCACCCAGAGAAAACCAUCUCACAACUACUGCUUUUAAGUGGACCUCUCAAUAGAAGGAAGAAAAGGAUUCCGUCUCUGAGACACGGCCAUGGACACCCUUGCUCCUCAGCAGUGGGACAGCCUUGCAGAGCGCACAGAAUCAGGAAAACAACUUGAACCUAAAGUAAAAAAUCUAUUCCGCAAACAAGUCCUUCAAGAGCCCACCAACACCCAUCAGUCGUGCAGAAAAUUUAGAAGUGGAUAGAAGUGUUCUUGAAACUCAGAAAACAUUGUCAAUCUGUGACAGACUUUACCAAAACAGAAGGGCACAGCAGCUCUACUUGUUCGAUAGGCAUCCAAGUUGUCAGUACCCAGAGAUACUCGCAGCUGGUUAAGAAUGUAGGCACUUACCUACAGAGAAAAAACAAACGAACAAAAAAAAACAACAUUAGGCAGAGCUAAAACUUCAGGAAAAGCUUUGCUUUUUAAAUGCUGAAAUUUCAUUGGACAUACAUUGUAAAUUGUAAUUAUAUAGAUUACAUAGCAUAAAUACUUUUUAUCUUAAGUUUUCACGCAUUCAGAUAUCACGCAUUAAUAUACCAUUAAUGGAUGUUUUUCAGAAAAGGUAACCCAUUUCUAGACAUUCAAGAGGAUAACCAUCACAGCUUUCAGCAAUGCUUUGUUAACACUGCCAAACUGAGGUUUAUUAACUCCUUGUUCACCAGCUGGCACGGGGAGCCCAGACCUUAAGAAAUCCAUGUAUAUCUGCCAAGUUUAACUUUAAUAGAUGAGGUUCCAAUUCAGAGGGAAAUUUAGAUCACCCCUUUUAAAACAGCAGUGCCAUCUCAUCUGGAAGUCUCAUCCGAAGAGUGCAGUUCUGUAUGCUCAGGAGCAGCACCAACAGCUUAGUGUUAUGAGGUACUGAAUAAAAUGUAGAGAAAAAAAAAAAAGGAAAGAAGAAUGGGGAGAUGUCUUGAAGACAGAAGAUGUAUAAAACAAUCUGAAUUAUUUGCUCAACCUGUUUAUUUCUAUUGCUUGGAAAGAGCUCCCUCAUAACAUGGGCUUGGAGGGAGGGGCUCAGUAGCUGUGGUUUCUAGCCACUAAUCUUCCUAUUCAGGACAGAAUUUAAGCACAGACUUAAGUCCCAAUGACAUCAGCUGGACUUCAGCUGUGUGAAGUUAAACAUCUGUGUAAGUGCUGCCCAGCAGGGCAGCCAAACAGUUGUGGAGCUCUCAUGUAUUUCUCGCCCAAACAAGCUAAUAUUUCUAUAUUUCUAAGUUUUUUUUUUAUUUUAUUUUUUUAAAUCCAAUACUAUUUUUAUCCUUCUAAGCCUUCGGGACAAAUGCUAUACAGACUUUCUAGUCUUGCAGAGUGCAAUUUAUAAAGAUUAAAGAUUAACAUUUAUAGAAAAAUGCCUUUCCAUAAUACUGUAGAGAUGCCAUAAAAAGUAAUACUUUUCAUUAUAAUACCACUUUAUGGUACACGAGAGCUUUAGUACCCCACAGGUCUUUUCCUUCUCAGUAUCUAGAGGGGAAAGAAUAGAUUGCAAAAAGUAGAUGCUUCUUUCUUUCUUUUUCCAGAUCAGCAAAUAUUAUAUUCAAUCCCUUCAAGGUGAGCUUUGUUGUGAAGAGAGAUAAGGCCCAAAGCAGAGCCAAGGUUUGAAGAAAAUUAGUCAUUGUAUAUGCAUUUUUAUCUGUUUUGACAAUGUAGAAUUUUAAUGAAGGAAUGCUACAAGGAUUCUGCACUGAAACAAGCAGUUUAAUUCUUUCUGUAAUUCAGAAAGCAAGUUUAAGUAAUGACUUUAUAAUUUUUAAUUAUCAUGGAAGAAUCCUUUUUCUGUUCUUUUUCUUUACUGCUCCAGUGUAUCUCAGAAAUUUAAUUUUCAUUUUCAACUCAGGCAAUAAUAUUUUUCAUUAUUUUGCAAAUAAAAAACCCACAUUACAAUGAACAAAUUAGAGAUGGGCACAUGCACAGAACGGCACCACCUAGAAAAUACUUGUUUCUGAUUUGAAUUGAAGCAACUUUUAGAGUCUUGCAAUACUGGUAACAAGUGUGUCUCAGCCUUUACUCUGAUGUCAGCUAUCCACAUGCUGUCAGUGCCUUCAGCUGCAAACCGUCUCUGUGCUCGUCCUUCAUGCUGCACUACAGGGGAUCCAUGACCACUGUACCUACUCUGCACCUCAGUGAAAACACAAAAAGUUGGGAAUUCCAGCUGCUCUGGGGAUGGCUGACCUGGCCCAGGAAGAUCGUCAAGUGACUUACUGGGUUUAUGGCAUAAUCAAUGGGACAAAUAUUUGCUACCAUUUAGGCUACAGCAGUUGCUGAGCGGCCGAUACAAUCUACCCUGAUGGUGAAGUCAGUGGGAGUUGUGUGGAUUUGCUUUCAGACUUGGGCACAGAUCAUUUGUUUGACAUGUACCUACUCAAUAAAUCCUGAUCACUUUGGCAAUUUGUUUGUAUCUGUUUGAGUGGAUCUCCAGCAGAAAAUCUACAACAUGCAUCACUUCAUCUCUGCUCAUGGAGAAGUUAGAGUUUAGUACAAGCAUUCAAAAACCUCCCGUCUAAUUAUCUGCAAUGUGUAGCCUUACUUUUAUAUAAAUGUGGCACUUGCCAUCAAAAUGCCACAGCCAUAAAAAAUAGAACUGCCUCCAAUACAUACGACCUAUUACCACCACAGCUCAGGUUAUUUCCUCGGAAGAAAAUGAAAAACUCCAUUUGAAACUCACUUAACAGCCAGUUCAUACAGAAAGCAACUCCAUAAAGGCGAGAAAGAAUAAUGACACAUUUGUGAAGAAGUUGCAAAAAUUCAAAUGCAAGAUUUAUCCAGAGCUUUGCUACUCCAAUCCUCUUAGAGAGUUUAUAAAAUAAUGCCCUGUGCAAACUGGGGAAAAAAAAAAAUAAUUCCACCCACUACCCUGUAAAUGCAAAACCAAAUGAAAUUUGCCUUAUAAAAGAAAAACAAAUUAAACCGAAACUAGCAGGCCUAGCGGGUCUGUAACUCACUAGGAACAGCCCCUACGUCCCUAAGGAACAGCCUGGUGAUAUACUACGCCGAGCUACGAAAUGUGCAGACAGAGGGAGUAGAGACUGCAACCAGCCGAACAUUUUCAAAUCCAAAAAAUGAUUCUUUUUUCCUCCAUUUCACUUGAACACUUCGAUUGGCUUCGAUAGUUGUCUCCUCUUAGCAGCCUGCCCCACUGGCACCUCUGUGUCAGAUCAAAACUCAGAUCCGUGCUGUUUAUAAAAACAACUCCAGGACCACAUUUGAGCUUUUUCUUCUUCAACAGAGCUCAACCACAGACUCAGAAGCGAAAAAACAAACACAUCCUGGUCGAGCAGAGAAGCUGCUGUGCAUGACGCGUUAUUGAGACAAACCCCAGCAGGACAAGCAGCUGUGUGGAACACAGUGGGCUCAGGCUGAAGCAGGGCUAUAAACAUUGGAGUGGAGUUUACAGUCCAACAGCAGCAGCAGCGGUGCUGAACACCUCCUCCCAGAUGUGCCCAGCCUGACUCGGGCUUGUCAGCCUGCAAACUUGCAUAAGGAUAGGUGUGCAGCAUCCAGGAUUACCCCUGAGAUGAGCAGAACGCUCAGCCAUUUGGGGAGGAUUGCUAAAGUGGUAGGGCAAAGUUAGGCAGGCAGGGAUGGGGAAGCUUUUGCAGUCAGAGCACACACAGCAAAUCAGCUGUAUGUGAAAAACAAUCCCCUCGCAAAGGCUUAUAUUACUGCUUUAUAUAUGUACAAUAUGGAAAAUACUAGCUGCAUUUCCAAUUUUUAAUGCAUCCCAUGUUCACAGGGUACCUUAUUUUUGCUAAAAGGGAGUUUCUAGGCAAUGCUGCUAUCUGUACACCCUAAAACAUACAAUCAUUUUUACCAGCUGCAAUGAAUUGGAUAAUGGAUUUUAAGUCAGACUGCUUCUAGCUGCUGGGAUAAAAUAGGUCAAGAGAGCAGAAUACCCGGAGAAUAACUCCCACUGAUUGGAGUAAUGAGUAAAGCCACUGUUUGCACCCCGUGUUUUUCAAGCUGUCCUUCCAUUAAAUCACACAGCCCAGACAAGUGCAAAAACAGCAUGUGAUGCAGCCAUAAAGGUGUUCUGGCAUCUGAAAUCAGAGAUAAAAGCACAGGGGAAAGCAAAACUUUCAGACAUCACAUUCUCAACCAAAAAAAAAAGGGAAUCACCUCUAAAAUGAAAUGAAUUGA
Long non-coding RNA from Numida meleagris (helmeted guineafowl), 4841 nucleotides. RefSeq lists it as uncharacterized. NCBI's taxonomy places the organism in Eukaryota, Metazoa, Chordata, Aves, Galliformes, Numididae. The record is from RefSeq and is a predicted model, not a curated record. The transcript is spliced from 2 exons.